RNAcentral lists this ribosomal RNA (253 nucleotides) under uncultured bacterium. RNAcentral describes it as "partial 16S ribosomal RNA". It matches the Rfam family "Bacterial small subunit ribosomal RNA", at positions 524 to 776 of the family's 1533-position model. The record is from RNAcentral.
UACGAAGGUCCCAAGCGUUAUCCGGAUUUAUUGGGCUUAAAGGGCGCGUAGGCGGGCUAUUAAGUCAGUGGUGAAAGCCCCAAGCUUAACUUGGGAACUGCCAUUGAUACUGAUGGUCUUGAGUACAUUUGAGGUGGGCGGAAUGUGUCAUGUAGCGGUGAAAUGCUUAGAUAUGACACAGAACACCGAUUGCGAAGGCAGCUCACUAAGCUGUAACUGACGCUGAGGCACGAAAGCGUGGGGAGCAAACAGG